CCAGCGCAUAACCUCGCGUCGUUACCCGGCACGAGGGGUGUUGCGUUUCGGAGGGUCCAGCACGCCGUGCCAUACCGUCUAAGUCAAGCUUGAAAGUGGCCACUACCCAUGGAGGGUGAGAGGCCCGUUUGGCGGCGCCCGUGAGGGUAUCGAUGGCACGGUCGGAAAGGGCCUCUCUGUAGAGUCGGGUUGCUUGAUAGUGCAGCCCAAAGUAGGUGGUAAACUCCAUCUAAGGCUAAAUAUGACCACGAGACCGAUAGCGAACAAGUACCGUGAGGGAAAGUUGAAAAGAACUUUGAAGAGAGAGUUCAAGAGUACGUGAAACCGUUAAGAGCCAAACGGAUGGAACCUCGAAGUCCGAACUGAGGGGAUUCAGCCAGUCGGACGACAGCUGGGUGCGAGUCUUCCUUCGUUGAGUCGGUGCGACCCGAGGAAACUCGGGCGCGCUCGCACCCACGCUGGCGCCGGCUGGCGCAUUUCGCCUCGUAGUAGGGCGCCGCGACCCGUUGAUGAUGGGAAUGUCUUAUAAGGCCCCAGUGGAUUGGUACCCUACCUCCUUCAACAACUGCAACCUCAUGCGGCUGCUUCGUAGCGAGGUAGGAGAAACCGCUGUUGGUGACCCGAGCUUCCCUGCAACGGUCGUAGACACGAGCUACUACUACUACUACUACUACUACUGGUGGUGGUGGUCGUCGUCGUCGUCUCGCGGCGUGCAAAUAGAUCGGUGAUCCAUCCGACCCGUCUUGAAACACGGACCAAGGAGUCUAACAUGUGUGCGAGUCAGUGGGUGCACUAAACCCAAAGGCGGAAUGAAAGUGAAAAAAAAAUAUCCGAGUCCGGCGCUCCUCGCCAGCGUCGUCUUUCGAUGAUGAUGCGGGCGCCGGUAGCAUCGGAGGGCCGAUCUAUCUAUGCUGCGUUCUUACCACCACCACCACCAGCAAUGCCAGGUGAGCCAUUUUCCCUGACUCUCUGCUGGUGGCUGUGGAAGAGCGCCGCCGCGACUAGUAGGCGCAGGCCCGGGACUUGCCAAAGACGCCGCAGCAGCAGCGGGGACAAGCAGCAGCAGAACACUGCCUUGAUCCGUGAGCGCGUGCAGUCGGCAAGUACCACGAGCAGACAUGUUAGUACCCGAAAGAUGGUGAACUAUGCCUGGCCAGGAUGAAGCCAGAGGAAACUCUGGUGGAGGUCCGUAGCGAUUCUGACGUGCAAAUCGAUCGUCCGAGCUGGGUAUAGGGGCGAAAGACUAAUCGAAUCAUCUAGUAGCUGGUUCCCUCUGAAGUUUCCCUCAGGAUAGCUGGAACUCGAAGGAUGAAUUUCGUCCGGUAAAGCGAAUGAUUAGAGGUGUUGGGGACGAAACGUCCUCAACCUAUUCUCAAACUUUAAAUGGACGAGAUGCCGAGCUUUCUUGAACACUGGUUUGGUUGGUGGAUGAAGCUCUGGCGAUUAAUCUGAGUAUCUAGUGGGCCAUUUUUUGGUAAGCAGAACUGGCGCUGUGGGAUGAACCAAACGUCGGGUUAAGGGGCCUAGAGGAAUGCUCAUUCAGAUCCCAUCGAAAGGCGUUGGUUGCUCUAGACAGCAGGACGGUGGCCAUGGAAGUCGGAAUCCGCUAAGGAGUGUGUAACAACUCACCUGCCGAAGCAACUAGCCCUUAAAAUGGUAUGGCGCUGAAGCAUUCUCCCGAUACUCGACCGCCGGGGCAUUAGCGGCCACAUCAUCGUCGUCGUCGUCGUCGACUUUGAGGAGGAGGCGGCGGCGGCGGCGAGGAGGUCUCGAUGAAGCCCCGGUGAGUAAGAGGGUCGCAGUGGUGAGCGCUGAAGGGAUCCGGCGUGAGCCGGCCUGGAGCCACCACUGGUGCAGAUCUUGGUGGUAGUAGCAAAUACUCGAGAGAGACUCCCUUGAAGACCGAUGUGGAGAAGGGUUCCAUGUGAACAUCAGUUGGACAUGGGUUAGUCGCUCCUAAGCCCAAGGCUAAGGCCUGAUCCCACGCUAGCGGCAACGCUACGCCAACGUAAGAAGCAUGAGCACGAGGAGAAAAAAGCGGAAGGAGAUGACGAAGCAGCUUUAGCAAUGGCUGCUCCUGCUGCUUUGCUCUUCUUUUCUCUCUCGUGUGCUUCUCGUUGCCCGGGAUUAGUGGGGAAAGGGAAUACGGUACUUAUUCCGUAACCUGGACUCGGAUAAAAAAAAAAACAACCAGGCAGGCAGACAGACGGGCUCCUCGCGCCCAGCACGCAAGCAAGCAAGCUCCCGAAAGGGAAUUUGGCUACGGCUGCUGCUGGUGUCGCUUGCUGUUGCUGCUGAUGCUUUUGCUCUGUGUUUGAGGACCCCGGUGACGGGAACCAGCUCGCGCCCAUCGGCGGUGGUCCGGGAAAGAGUUUUCUUUUCUGUUUAAGGCGCCGUGACCCUAGAAACCAUCCGCAGGGAGAAAGGGGAUUGGUAACACGGUUAGCCGUAGAGCGCUGCGGUUCUUGCAGCGUCCCGCGUGCCACUGUCGGUCCGUGAAACCGCGAGGGAGGUAACUCUGGCUAGAUUUAUUUAUUUAUUUAUUUGUCGGGUCUCCGUGCCCGUCAAAUGUAAAAAAAAUAAUACAGCCUAAUUUCGAUCCAGUGCGUACCCAUAUCCGCAGCAGGUCUCCGAGGUAAGC
RNAcentral lists this ribosomal RNA (2641 nucleotides) under Euastacus maidae. RNAcentral describes it as "eukaryotic LSU rRNA". It matches the Rfam family "Eukaryotic large subunit ribosomal RNA", at positions 109 to 1877 of the family's 3401-position model. Lineage: Eukaryota; Metazoa; Arthropoda; Malacostraca; Decapoda; Parastacidae. The record is from RNAcentral.